CUCACAGCUUCAGCCCGUACUGGGGCAGAGACAUGUCCUGGCAUGGGGGAGAAACGGGCCCUUUCCUCUCUGGGGGGCGCUGCCCUAAUCUGGGGCUACGGGUUGGGAUUGAAGAGGUGGUGCUUGGCUGUAGGAUGGAUGCCCCUAGCCCGGAUAAGCUCUUCUGCCGUUAGAAGAGGACUCAAGGGCAGCAUUGGGAGGGGCUGGGAGCCAGGACUCCUGAGUUCUCUCCCUGGCUCUGGGAGGGGAGUGGGGUCUAGUGGUUAGAGCAGGGGGGCUGGGAGCCAAGCUGGGCACAGUGGCUGCAUUGCUGGUGGUGGUGGUAGCCGGUGACCUCGCUCACCUUCCCUGUUCGUAGGAUCCUCUCCGCCCGCGGCCAUGGAAGAGGAGGAGAAUCCACCUCCCCCGGCUCCAGAGGAUCCAGUGGGGGGCAGUGAGGAGCAGGGGCGGCCGAGCGAUGCCCCCCCGGACAGGGAGCCGCGUCAGCCGGGUGCUCUCUGCACUGGACAAGUCAUCGUGCUGAAGGCCUUGCAGCAGGUGGUGAGCGGCAGCUUCCAGAGCGAGUGGCCGGGCCGGGCUGGCGAGAAAGGUACGGACCAGGACACAGCGGGGUGGGGGCCCGGGGACAACCAACCUCGCAGCCGGGGAUCGGGUCCGGCCCUGAAUCUGGGACACCCAGCCUCUGCCCCCUUUGUGAGCCAGACCUGACGGCUUCCCCAUCUGCACCCCCGGGGUAUGGGACAGGGGCACCCCCGGCCAUGGGCCCGAGAGCAGCGGGGCCGACCCUGUGUCCCUGUUGCAGAUGCGGAGAGGAAGAAGAUGAGCCGGAAGAAAUGGUGCCGGAACCCCCGGGCGGUUGGAUCUGGCAGUGGCAAGGGGGGCACUGGGGACCCCAUGGGCACAUGUGACCGGAGCAGCACCGUCCCCGAGGCCCUGGGCCUGUUCUCCGGCCUGGCGGGGGCCCUGCAGUUCCUGCAGAGGUCGUGUGCCGCCUCCAUGCAGACCCGGCUCCUCCUGGGAGACGAGGGGCUCCUGGGGCCCCCGGGCAUCUGCGGGGACACGGAGCCGGACGAGGUGGAGCUGGUGGCCGAGGUGCGGCUGGGGGACGUGGCUGCUGCGUCCGGCAUCUUCAGGAGAGAGCGGGCCUGGAGAGUGCACAAAUCAGGUAGGGACGGGGGUGGGGAGGACAGGCCAUGGGGCCUGUCCCCUCUAGGGGG
RNAcentral lists this long non-coding RNA (1217 nucleotides) under Chrysemys picta bellii (western painted turtle). Its description in RNAcentral is "lncRNA (ENSCPBG00000006688.1)". The record is from RNAcentral. Lineage: Eukaryota; Metazoa; Chordata; Testudines; Emydidae.